GGCUUUUUAGUAUAUUUUGGUAUUUUUGUCUUCCAAACAAAAGGGUUUUGAGCUA
RNAcentral lists this transfer RNA (55 nucleotides) under Litomosoides sigmodontis. RNAcentral's name for it is "tRNA-Gly". Lineage: Eukaryota; Metazoa; Nematoda; Chromadorea; Rhabditida; Onchocercidae. The record is from RNAcentral.